Molecule: ribosomal RNA, 876 nt
Filed under: uncultured archaeon
Lineage: Archaea
Description: bacterial SSU rRNA
Rfam family: Archaeal small subunit ribosomal RNA
Source: RNAcentral
ACCUGACUGCUAUCGGAUUGAUACUAAGCCAUGCGAGUCUUUGUAGUAAUACAAGGCAGACGGCUCAGUAACACGUAGUCAACCUACCCUAUGGACGAGAAUAAUCUCGGGAAACUGAGCAUAAUUCUUGAUAGAUCAUAAUGCCUGGAAUGGUUUAUGGUUAAAAUGAUUCGUCGCCAUAGGAUGGGACUGCGGCCUAUCAGCUUGUUGGUGAGGUAAUGGCCCACCAAGGCGAUUACAGGUACGGGCUCUGAGAGGAGAAGCCCGGAGAUGGGUACUGAGACAAGGACCCAGGCCCUAUGGGGCGCAGCAGGCGAGAAAACUUUGCAAUGUGCGAAAGCACGACAAGGUUAAUCCGAGUGAUUUCUGCUAAAGAAAUCUUUUGCCAGUCAUAAAACCACUGGUGAAUAAGGGGUGGGCAAGUUCUGGUGUCAGCCGCCGCGGUAAAACCAGCACCUCAAGUUGUCAGGAUGAUUAUUGGGCCUAAAGCAUCCGUAGCCGGCUUUGUUAGUUUUCGGUUAAAUCCAUGUGCUCAACGCAUGGGCUGCCGAAAAUACUGCAGGGCUAGGGAGUGGGAGAGGUAGACGGUACUCAGUAGGAAGGGGUAAAAUCCUUUGAUCUAUUGAUGACCACCUGUGGCGAAGGCGGUCUACCAGAACACGUUCGACGGUGAGGGAUGAAAGCUGGGGGAGCAAACCGGAUUAGAUACCCGGGUAGUCCCAGCUGUAAACGAUGCAGACUCGAUGAUGCAUUGGCAUAUAGCCAGUGCAGUGUCGCAGGGAAGCCGUUAAGUCUGCCGCCUGGGAAGUACGUACGCAAGUAUGAAACUUAAAGGAAUUGGCGGGGGAGCACCACAAGGGGUGAAGCCUGCGGUUC